UACGGGGGGGGCAAGCGUUGUUCGGAAUUACUGGGCGUAAAGGGCUCGUAGGUGGCCAACUAAGUCGGAUGUGAAAUCCCUCGGCUUAACCGGGGAACUGCGUCCGAUACUGGUUGGCUUGAGUUUGGGAGAGGGAUGCGGAAUUCCAGGUGUAGCGGUGAAAUGCGUAGAUAUCUGGAGGAACACCGGUGGCGAAGGCGGCAUCCUGGACCAAGACUGACGCUGAGGAGCGAAAGCCAGGGGAGCAAACGGG
RNAcentral lists this ribosomal RNA (253 nucleotides) under uncultured bacterium. RNAcentral describes it as "partial 16S ribosomal RNA". It matches the Rfam family "Bacterial small subunit ribosomal RNA", at positions 524 to 776 of the family's 1533-position model. The record is from RNAcentral.